CCCAGGCCCACAGGACAGGGCAUGGUUAAGCAUGGUGGCACACAUGCUUUUAAUCCCAGCACUCAGGAGGCAAAUGUAUGUGGAUCUCUGUGAGUUCAAGGCCAGGGCCAUGGGGAAGGCAGAUGGACUAUUGCCAGGAGCACUGCCCUGGUUAGAAGACUCUUCUUGUUCUGCAGCUCCCUCCACCAGCCCAGCCACGUGCGCAUCGUUGCGCGCGAGCAGCAGCUGACGCACACAGGGCUAGUAUCAGUGAAGGCCUCAGAGCCGCACGACUGUCCUCCCGGACUUCCGCCUCUCUGAGGGGGCCGACUCCUCGCACUCCACCAGCCACGAACGCCCACGAGAAACGAGGGAACAACACGCGUAACUCGCGGAGCCGGAGAGUGACCUUCCUCGGCGCGGCCUGGGGGCGAGGCUCGGAAGGCCCCGCCCUACGCCGCCAUUGGCUAAGUCCCCGUGUCCUUUCAAAACCUCGAUUUUCAUUGGCUUAUGCGGCCCCGCCCGCGCUGCCAGAGACAUAAGGGGGCCUCCGCCCGCGCGCGAGCUGCGCGUGCGCAGGGCCGGUGAGCGCGCUGUGGAAAGCCGUAGAACGCUGUGAUCCUCCGCGACUCUACUACGGCAAGCUAGUCCGGACGGGUCGCUGUCCCCAAGCUCCACCAGCCCUUGGUGAACCGACAGGGAGCGUCCGGCUUUCCCAGCACCACUUUGCCAGACUCAAAACAGCCACACCGCAAAGUGAGCCUCGGGCGGAAGGAGGCGGAGCUACAGGCGGCCCCGCCUCCGCGGAGGGAUACGUGUCUCCGCGGUCCAAAACCCCGGGGCGAGGCGGCCGGGGCGUGUGAGCCGCUCGGCCAGCUGCCGUCUACGGGCUUCCGCGCGGCCACCGGGCAACUGCGCCGCGCGGCUGCCCCACUGAGCGCUCGGCCUCGGGGCCGUGGGAUCGUAAAGCUCAGUCCUUCG
RNAcentral lists this long non-coding RNA (960 nucleotides) under Rattus norvegicus (Norway rat). Its description in RNAcentral is "long non-coding RNA NONRATT033489". Lineage: Eukaryota; Metazoa; Chordata; Mammalia; Rodentia; Muridae. The record is from RNAcentral.